GCUAGUGCAAUUGGUUAUGCACUCGCCCUCGAAAAGCACGAAAUGCGGGUUCGAGUCCCGCUUAACG
Molecule: non-coding RNA, 67 nt
Organism: Parelaphostrongylus tenuis
Lineage: Eukaryota; Metazoa; Nematoda; Chromadorea; Rhabditida; Metastrongylidae
Source: the annotation of a GenBank genome assembly